RNAcentral lists this RNase P RNA (394 nucleotides) under Bacteroidales bacterium. RNAcentral's name for it is "RNase P RNA component class A". It matches the Rfam family "Bacterial RNase P class A". Rfam says of the family: Ribonuclease P (RNase P) is a ubiquitous endoribonuclease, found in archaea, bacteria and eukarya as well as chloroplasts and mitochondria. Its best characterised activity is the generation of mature 5'-ends of tRNAs by cleaving the 5'-leader elements of precursor-tRNAs. Cellular RNase Ps are ribonucleoproteins. Lineage: Bacteria; Pseudomonadati; Bacteroidota; Bacteroidia; Bacteroidales. The record is from RNAcentral.
GCAGUCGGGCGGCUCGUCGCUGACACCCUCGGGGUGUUUGAGGAAAGUCCGGGCAACGCAGAGCGCCAUAUUUCUUAACGGGAAACUAUCGGUGACGGUAGAGUAGCGUGACAGAAAAUAACCGCCGCUCCUCCCCGUGGGGAGCGGUAAGGGUGAAAAGGUGGGGUAAGAGCCCACCGGACCGGAUAGCGAUAUUCGGUGCCGCACGCCUUAUGGGUUGCAAGGUCAAGUAUACCGGCAUUUAAGGGUUGCUCGCCCAUUGCCGGGGGGUAGACUGCUAUAGAGCGUUGGCAACAACGGUCACAGAUAAAUGACGGGCCGGCAACGUAACUCCUUGUCUUUGCACAGGAAAGUGCGGGGCUGACAUAACCCGGCUUACAGUCCGGCUGCUUUU